Molecule: ribosomal RNA, 228 nt
Filed under: Triticum aestivum (bread wheat)
Lineage: Eukaryota; Viridiplantae; Streptophyta; Magnoliopsida; Poales; Poaceae
Description: partial small subunit ribosomal RNA
Source: RNAcentral
AUGGACCAUUCCAUCCCUUUUUCCCGUGCAUAUGCAUCGGACUCAGAUGACGAUGGUCCCGAUGAACAAGUUGAUGCGGAGGGGUUCACGGUGAAGGAGGCCGAAGCUUUCGAGAAGGUAUUUGGUCGGGAUCAUCGGACUACAUUGUUCAAGGAUGUUAGUCUCGCGGAUGAAACCGUGGUAGAUGGUGGCCAAUGUGUACCUCUUGGGGUUAGACCAAGCUCUCAC